This 246-nucleotide ribosomal RNA is filed under the name uncultured Bacillota bacterium. RNAcentral describes it as "uncultured Firmicutes bacterium partial 16S ribosomal RNA". It matches the Rfam family "Bacterial small subunit ribosomal RNA", at positions 796 to 1041 of the family's 1533-position model. Lineage: Bacteria; Bacillati; Bacillota. The record is from RNAcentral.
CACACGGUAAACGAUGAAUGCUAGGUGUAGGGGGUAUCGACCCCUUCUGUGCCGGAGUUAACACAAUAAGCAUUCCGCCUGGGGAGUACGGUCGCAAGAUUAAAACUCAAAGGAAUUGACGGGGGCCCGCACAAGCAGCGGAGCAUGUGGUUUAAUUCGAAGCAACGCGAAGAACCUUACCAGGUCUUGACAUCCAGUAAAGCCUGUAGAGAUACAGAGUCCCUUCGGGGGUACUGAGACAGGUGG